ACCAAAAAACUAAGCUAUAUUGGUAAAAAGACAGUUAAAUUAUAUAAGGGUGAAAAAUCUGUGAUAUCUUUAAGGGAAACUGGGAUUGGAUACCCCACUAUUAGGCAUAAAUUUACCAGAGCACUACGAAUUUAAAACUCAAAGAGCUUGGCGGUAUUUUAGACCACUUAGGGGAACCUGUUUCAUAAUCGAUAAUCCGCGUGAAACCUUACCUUUUUUCAGUUUGUAUACCGUUGUCAGCAGGUAACUUUUAAUAAAAGUUAGCUAUAUUAAUUUAAAUGUCAAAUCAAGGUGCAACCAAUAAAAAGGAGAGAAUGGGUUACAAUUAACGAAGGAGGACUUAAAAGUAAAAUAUAAAAAUGAGCUGAACAGGCUCUAAAAUGUG
This 385-nucleotide ribosomal RNA is filed under the name Cyrillia linearis. RNAcentral describes it as "Raphitoma linearis partial 12S ribosomal RNA". Lineage: Eukaryota; Metazoa; Mollusca; Gastropoda; Neogastropoda; Raphitomidae. The record is from RNAcentral.